GAGAAAUUGGAAUUGUGCAAGCGUUCUAUGGAGUAACAAUACAUUUAUUCUAUCCUUUCUUGUCUGUUGUGAGUCAUUCAAAUGUCAGAACAAUACAGAAUAUUGGAACUCUUGGCCACUGGGAUAAUAAUCAUGAACAAAAAAGGAGAUUGGUGUAUACAAGAGCUUGAUGAGAUAUGAAGAAAGAAACUCAAGCUGCAAUAGAUUGAGCAGAUUUUUUAAUCCAGCAGAACACCAGAUAUAAAACCCAAGCAUUUCUCAAAAGAGCUGAGAAAUGAUGAGACAUAAAAAGUUUUGUGAACUGAAAGAGA
Molecule: long non-coding RNA, 311 nt
Organism: Anolis carolinensis (green anole)
Lineage: Eukaryota; Metazoa; Chordata; Lepidosauria; Squamata; Anolidae
Exons: 2
Source: RefSeq, a predicted model, not a curated record